UCACACGUCGUGACUCCGCCCUCAAGGGCGGCGCUGUGGGAUCCCAGCUGUGUGAACAGCGUCCUUUCGCCCCGCCUAGUCACGCCCCCCUUGAUGACGCAAUCGUGUCUGUUUAUUACUGCCCACUUCCAUACUAUCGGCCUAUUACGGCUCGCCUGGUCUCUCCGACCACGCCCGCCGUACCUAGGCCCGCCCCCUUACUUCCCUAUAUAAACCUCUAGCCGUCCAAACAAUGUCAGACACUGCUGGACGGCAGAGGUACUAGUGACACGUCUGGUGGCCACACUGAGCGCUUGUCUUUUGUAAGUACUCCCUUACUCUGGAUCCUUUUAUUUAUCACUUUUUGCAUUGGUUCCCUCCUUCCUUAUCUAAUGCCUGUUUCUAUUGCCAUCCAUUGUAUUUACAGAUUGGAGCUCUGCUACCUCUCUACUGACACCUUUGGCCAAAUUUAAUAUGACACAUUUCUGCUAACCUCAGGUUUUUACAUUAUCAUAUGUUACUUUGUGACUAUAUGGGCCUGAGGUCUUGCUAUAUGUGAUUCUGCACCGCCGGCUUCCUUCCUCUUAAUUUCAUCCAGAGGAGUCUUUCUGCGUCCUGAUAGUGGUGUCCUUUCUCUGGGGUGUGCAGGGUUGAUUAAACGCUGUGAUUGAAAAGUGGUUCUUAUACUCGUUGACUACAUAUACUUCGGCCCCUGAUGAAGGGUAAUCCGAAACGCGUAGGGCCGUGUAUGUCUUCAUGGACCUUGCUUUUCAAUGACACCUAACCAUGUAUUGUUUUUAAAUAUAUUCUAUGUGAUUUAUGUGUACAAUUUCCAUUUUUGAAUAUUAAAUUAUCUAUUUUUUGGA
This is a long non-coding RNA of Rana temporaria (common frog), 845 nucleotides long. RefSeq lists it as uncharacterized. The record is from RefSeq and is a predicted model, not a curated record. NCBI's taxonomy places the organism in Eukaryota, Metazoa, Chordata, Amphibia, Anura, Ranidae. The transcript has 3 exons.